RNAcentral lists this ribosomal RNA (367 nucleotides) under uncultured organism. RNAcentral's name for it is "bacterial LSU rRNA". It matches the Rfam family "Bacterial large subunit ribosomal RNA", at positions 2099 to 2465 of the family's 2925-position model. The record is from RNAcentral.
CUUUACUGCAGCUUUGCAGUGGCAUCAGAGACAUUCUGUGCAGGAUAGGUGGGAGGCUUUGAAACCGGGGCGCCAGUUCCGGUGGAGCCAUCCUUGAAAUACCACCCUGAAUUUUUCUGAUGUCUAACCGAGACCAGUAAGCCUGGUCCGGGACCCUGCAUGGCGGGCAGUUUGACUGGGGCGGUCGCCUCCCAAAGAGUAACGGAGGCGCGCGAUGGUAGGCUCAGGCCGGUCGGAAACCGGCUGUCGAGUGCAAUGGCAUAAGCCUGCCUGACUGUGAGAGUGACAGCUCGAUCAGAGACGAAAGUCGGCCAUAGUGAUCCGGUGGUUCCGCAUGGAAGGGCCAUCGCUCAACGGAUAAAAGGUA